AUGCAUGUCUAAGUCCUAGCCGGGUGAGUUGCUUGCUUCUCACUCGGUGWAACCGCGGACGGCUCAUUAAAUCAGUCGUGGUCCACAGGGCCUAGAGUUGUCUACUUGGAUAACUGUGGUAAUUCUAGAGCUAAUACAUGCAACUGAAUGCUCGAUCGGUUUGUUAGUUGGGAGCAAUCCCUUCUAGCUGUCGUGACGGCUGCUUUUAUUAGACCAAAACGCCCCGGGGGUCUCGUACCCUCUUCCCGUGUUGUGGUGACUCUGGAUAACACUGACAAGCGAACGUAUCCAUUUUAAUGGGACGGCGCUGGCUCCUACGAGCGUCUGCCUUAUCAGCUAUGAAUCGUUAGUUAUGUGCUAACGAUGGCUUUGACGGGUAACGGGRAAUCAGAGUUCGAUUCCGGAGAGGCAGCCUGAGAAACGGCUACCACG
This 432-nucleotide ribosomal RNA is filed under the name Amphipoda sp. USNM IZ 1449387. Its description in RNAcentral is "SSU rRNA". Lineage: Eukaryota; Metazoa; Arthropoda; Malacostraca; Amphipoda. The record is from RNAcentral.